GUCCUUCUGCGUGGUUCGAUACGGCUCAGGAAAAAGAAACUCUGACGAACACUGAAAAAGGGAGCGAAACUCGGAUGUGGUGUGCAGACCCAGCAAUCCUCACUGGGGAGCCUAAAGCAUCCGAUAUGAGCACCCACCUGAGAGAAUGAGGGUUUCUUCCUUGACCACCGGCCAAGGCGGUUGGACA
Molecule: non-coding RNA, 187 nt
Filed under: Sandaracinaceae bacterium
Lineage: Bacteria; Pseudomonadati; Myxococcota; Polyangiales; Sandaracinaceae
Description: 6S RNA
Rfam family: 6S / SsrS RNA
About the family: E. coli 6S RNA was the first non coding RNA to be sequenced, but its function was unknown until recently.
Source: RNAcentral